This is a non-coding RNA of Podarcis lilfordi (Lilford's wall lizard), 74 nucleotides long. The record is from the annotation of a GenBank genome assembly. NCBI's taxonomy places the organism in Eukaryota, Metazoa, Chordata, Lepidosauria, Squamata, Lacertidae.
ACUCCUGUGGUGCAAUGGGUUAGUGUGCCUGACUGUUAGCCAGAAGGUUGGUGGUUCGAGUCCACCCAGGGAUG